GAUGAAGAACGUAGCGAAAUGCGAUAAGUAAUGUGAAUUGCAGAAUUCAGUGAAUCAUCGAAUCUUUGAACGCACCUUGCGCCCUUUGGCCAUUCCGAAGGGCAUGCCUGUUUGAGUAUCAUGAACACCUCAACUCUUUAUGGUUUUCCAUGAUGAGCUUGGACUCUGGGGGUUUUGCUGGCUCACAGUCGGCUCCUCUAAAAUGAAUCAGCUUACCAGUGUUUGGUGGGUAUCAUGGGUGUGAUACCUAUCUACGCUUGUGGUUUUUCCACCAGGUAACCUUCAGCAGUGGAGGUUCGCUGGAGCUCAUAGAUGUCUCUCCUCAGUGAGGACAGCCCUUUGAAUGUUUGAUCUCAAAUCAGGUAGGACUACCCGCUGAACUUAAGCAUAUCAAUAAGCGGAGGA
RNAcentral lists this unclassified non-coding RNA (405 nucleotides) under soil metagenome. RNAcentral describes it as "partial contains 5.8S ribosomal RNA, internal transcribed spacer 2, and large subunit ribosomal RNA". The stretch from base 1 to 121 matches the Rfam family "5.8S ribosomal RNA", at positions 35 to 154 of the family's 154-position model. The record is from RNAcentral.